RNAcentral lists this ribosomal RNA (253 nucleotides) under uncultured bacterium. RNAcentral's name for it is "partial 16S ribosomal RNA". It matches the Rfam family "Bacterial small subunit ribosomal RNA", at positions 524 to 776 of the family's 1533-position model. The record is from RNAcentral.
UACGUAGGGCGCAAGCGUUGUCCGGAAUUAUUGGGCGUAAAGAGCUCGUAGGCGGCCUGUUGCGUCCGCUGUGAAAUCCCGGGGCUCAACCCCGGAACUGCAUUCGAUACUGCCUUGCUAGAGUACUGGAGAGGAGAUUGGAAUUUACGGUGUAGCAGUGAAAUGCGUAGAUAUCGUAAGGAAGACCAGUGGCGAAGGCGGAUCUCUGGACAGUUACUGACACUGAGGCACGAAGGCCAGGGGAGCAAACGGG